GGGGUUGUGGCUCAGCGGUAGAGCACUUGCCUAGUAUGUAUGAGGUGCUAGAUUCGAUUCUCAGCACCA
Molecule: non-coding RNA, 69 nt
Organism: Ictidomys tridecemlineatus (thirteen-lined ground squirrel)
Lineage: Eukaryota; Metazoa; Chordata; Mammalia; Rodentia; Sciuridae
Source: Rfam